Molecule: ribosomal RNA, 253 nt
Filed under: uncultured bacterium
Lineage: Bacteria
Description: partial 16S ribosomal RNA
Rfam family: Bacterial small subunit ribosomal RNA
Source: RNAcentral
UACAGAGGUGGCGAGCGUUGUUCGGAUUUACUGGGCGUAAAGGGCGCGUAGGCGGCAGCGUGUGUGGGGUGUGAAAUCUCCGGGCUUAACCCGGAAAGUGCGCCACAAACUGCGUGGCUUGAGUGCGGGAGGGGAGAUCGGAAUGCAGGGUGUAGCGGUGAAAUGCGUUGAUAUCCUGCAGAACACCGGUGGCGAAGGCGGAUCUCUGGAACGCAACUGACGCUGAGGCGCGAAAGUCGGGGGAGCAAACAGG